Molecule: small nucleolar RNA, 105 nt
Filed under: Torulaspora delbrueckii CBS 1146
Lineage: Eukaryota; Fungi; Ascomycota; Saccharomycetes; Saccharomycetales; Saccharomycetaceae
Description: Small nucleolar RNA snR73
Rfam family: Small nucleolar RNA snR73
Source: Rfam by way of RNAcentral
GUUUAUGAUGAAUUCCACAAUUUCACGACGGUCAACUGUAUUUCCUUACUUGUUUAUUAGGAAAUGUUGAUGAUAUUAUGCCUGUGACAGGGCGUGGCACUGAUA